This 916-nucleotide ribosomal RNA is filed under the name uncultured bacterium. Its description in RNAcentral is "bacterial SSU rRNA". It matches the Rfam family "Bacterial small subunit ribosomal RNA", at positions 246 to 1155 of the family's 1533-position model. The record is from RNAcentral.
UUGUUGGUGAGGUAAAGGCUUACCAAGGCUUCGAUCAGUAGCUGGUCUGAGAGGACGGCCAGCCACACUGGGACUGAGACGCGGCCCAGACUCCUACGGGAGGCAGCAGUGGGGAAUUUUGGACAAUGGGGGCAACCCUGAUCCAGCCAUGCCGCGUGAGUGAAGAAGGCCUUCGGGUUGUAAAGCUCUUUCAGCCGGAACGAAACGGUUACGGUUAAUACCCGUGACUACUGACGGUACCGGAAGAAGAAGCACCGGCUAACUACGUGCCAGCAGCCGCGGUAAUACGUAGGGUGCAAGCGUUAAUCGGAAUUACUGGGCGUAAAGCGUGCGCAGGUGGUUUUGUAAGUCAGAUGUGAAAUCCCCGGGCUUAACCUGGGAACUGCGUUUGAAACUACAAGGCUAGAGUGUGGCAGAGGGGGGUGGAAUUCCGCGUGUAGCAGUGAAAUGCGUAGAUAUGUGGAGGAACACCGAUGGCGAAGGCAGCCCCCUGGGUCAACACUGACGCUCAGGCACGAAAGCAUGGGGAGCAAACAGGAUUAGAUACCCUGGUAGUCCAUGCCCUAAACGAUGUCAACUAGUUGUCGGGCCUUAACGGGCUUGGUAACGUAGCUAACGCGUGAAGUUGACCGCCUGGGGAGUACGAUCGCAAGAUUAAAACUCAAAGGAAUUGACGGGGACCCGCACAAGCGGUGGAUUAUGUGGAUUAAUUCGAUGCAACGCGAAAAACCUUACCUACCCUUGACAUGUAUCGAAGCCCGCAGAGAAGCGGGUGUGCCCGAAAGGGAACGAUAACACAGGUGCUGCAUGGCUGUCGUCAGCUCGUGUCGUGAGAUGUUGGGUUAAGUCCCGCAACGAGCGCAACCCUUGUCAUUAAUUGCCAUCAUUUAGUUGGGCACUUUAAUGAGACUGCCGG